RNAcentral lists this ribosomal RNA (461 nucleotides) under uncultured bacterium. Its description in RNAcentral is "bacterial SSU rRNA". It matches the Rfam family "Bacterial small subunit ribosomal RNA", at positions 917 to 1382 of the family's 1533-position model. The record is from RNAcentral.
GGACCCGCACAAGCGGUGGAUGAUGUGGUUUAAUUCGAUGCAACGCGAAAAACCUUACCUACCCUUGACAUGUCUGGAAUCCUGAAGAGAUUUGGGAGUGCUCGAAAGAGAACCAGAACACAGGUGCUGCAUGGCCGUCGUCAGCUCGUGUCGUGAGAUGUUGGGUUAAGUCCCGCAACGAGCGCAACCCUUGUCAUUAGUUGCUACGAAAGGGCACUCUAAUGAGACUGCCGGUGACAAACCGGAGGAAGGUGGGGAUGACGUCAGGUCAUCAUGGCCCUUAUGGGUAGGGCUACACACGUCAUACAAUGGCCGGGACAGAGGGCUGCCAACCCGCGAGGGGGAGCCAAUCCCAGAAACCCGGUCGUAGUCCGGAUCGCAGUCUGCAACUCGACUGCGUGAAGUCGGAAUCGCUAGUAAUCGCGGAUCAGCUUGCCGCGGUGAAUACGUUCCCGGGUCUU